Molecule: ribosomal RNA, 852 nt
Filed under: uncultured bacterium
Lineage: Bacteria
Description: bacterial SSU rRNA
Rfam family: Bacterial small subunit ribosomal RNA
Source: RNAcentral
GCUGGCGGCGUGCUUUAUGCAUGCAAGUCGAACGAGUCACUUCGGUGACUAGUGGCAUACGGGUGAGUAACGCGUAAGUAACCUGCCCUUAAGUAGGGGAUAACUCCGAGAAAUUGGAGCUAAUACCUUAUGUGGUGAUGGAGGUAAGGCUUCAUCAGUAAAGCCUUAGGGCGCUUAAGGAUGGGCUUGCGUCCGAUUAGCUAGUUGGUAGGGUAACGGCCUACCAAGGCGACUAUCGGUAGCUGGUUUGAGAGGAUGUACAGCCACACUGGGAUUGAGAUACGGCCCAGACUCCUACGGGAGGCAGCAGCAAGGAAUAUUGUGCAAUGGGCGAAAGCCUGACACAGCGACGCCGCGUGGGGGAUUAAGGCCUUCGGGUUGUAAACCCCUUUUCUCAGGGAAGAAUAAUGACGGUACCUGAGGAAUAAGCCUCGGCUAGCUACGUGCCAGCAGCCGCGGUAAUACGUAGGAGGCAAGCGUUAUCCGGAUUCAUUGGGCGUAAAGAGCGCGUAGGCGGCCUGUUAAGUCAGUUGUGAAAUCUCCCAGCUUAACUGGGAGGGGUCAACUGAAACUGAUGGGCUUGAGGGCAGCAGAGGGAGGUGGAAUUCCCGGUGUAGCGGUGAAAUGCGUAGAGAUCGGGAGGAACACCAGUGGCGAAGGCGGCCUCCUGGGCUGUCUCUGACGCUGAGGAGCGAAAGCUAGGGGAGCAAACGGGAUUAGAUACCCCGGUAGUCCUAGCUGUAAACGAUGGAUACUAGGUGUGGGAGGUAUCGACCCCUUCUGUGCCGUAGCUAACGCAUUAAGUAUCCCGCCUGGGGACUACGGCCGCAAGGCUGAACUCAAAGGAAUUGA